AGAUUGAACGCUGGCGGCAUGCUUUACACAUGCAAGUCGAACGGUAACAGGCCGCAAGGUGCUGACGAGUGGCGAACGGGUGAGUAAUGUAUCGGAACGUGCCCAGUCGUGGGGGAUAACGCAGCGAAAGCUGCGCUAAUACCGCAUACGAUCUAUGGAUGAAAGCGGGGGACCGUAAGGCCUCGCGCGAUUGGAGCGGCCGAUGGCAGAGUUAGGUAGUUGGUGGGGUAAAGGCUCACCAAGCCGACGAUCUGUAGCUGGUCUGAGAGGACGACCAGCCACACUGGACUGAGACACGGCCAGACUCCGUACGGGAGCAGCGAGGUGGGAAUUUUGGACAAGUGGGACGCGAAGCCUGACUCCAGCCUACGUUCCGCGUGC
RNAcentral lists this ribosomal RNA (381 nucleotides) under uncultured soil bacterium. RNAcentral describes it as "bacterial SSU rRNA". It matches the Rfam family "Bacterial small subunit ribosomal RNA", at positions 26 to 404 of the family's 1533-position model. The record is from RNAcentral.